This 1172-nucleotide long non-coding RNA is filed under the name Equus caballus (horse). Its description in RNAcentral is "lncRNA (ENSECAG00000050581.1)". The record is from RNAcentral. Lineage: Eukaryota; Metazoa; Chordata; Mammalia; Perissodactyla; Equidae.
GGGCCCAGUUCCGGGCGGGGCGUUUCCCCAGCUGCACGGCCGGCGGCCGCGUAGGGUUGGGUGCUGGCGGUUAGCCUCGUCCGGAUUCGAUUUUUUCGGUGACAAGGGUCUGAACGGAGCCCCGGGUCCUCCUUGGCGUAUCUCCUCGCGGGCCAGCCUGGUGGCACAGCAGUUAAGUUCGCACAUUCUGCGUUGGCAGCCUGGGGUUCGCCGGUUCGGAUCCCGGGUGCGGACAUGGUACCGCUCAUCAAGCCAUGCUGUGGGUCCCUAGGAGUCAGAAUUGACUUGAUGGCACUAACAACGAGAUAGUCAUCUAUAUGGUCUAGGAGCUUCAGCAGGCAAGGAAUGCCCCAUACCACAUGUUGAUUGCCCAAGAUCCAGAUCCAGGCUAGCCAUGCUGUAAAGAGCAGCUUCCUGCUUACUAGGUACUGCAGAACCAGGGAAAAUAGUACCAAUGAAUGCGAGCAACCUUGUGUUUUCCUGAUCUUAAAGAGAAUACAUCUAAAUUUUUUCCAUUAAGUAAAAAGUUUGCUCCUGGAAAGCAGAUAUGAUAACUGAACUUUCAAGCAGCCACUUGGUGAUUUUAAGGGUGGAAGCUUCAUGCUAAGAAUGGUGGAGAAGAAAGCCUGGCUCCUCUGUGGCUUUGUGGAGCAGCUUUAUUAGCCUUUGACUGCCUGUUUCCCUGGACUUCCAUUAGGUGGGAAAUGAGCCCUUAUAUGUCGCUAUGGAUGUGCCUCUGUUUCGAGCAGCAACUGAACAUAAUUCCUAGCUGGUCCAGGUGUCUUGUUAUUCAGGCCCGCGAGCUCUUAUUCCUGGAGGUAUCAGGUACCUGGUCCCAUCUUGUGUACUGCAGGAGGGCCACAGCCCUGCCCUGGUUUUUAUUCUUCCUGAGACUCUCUGCAUCUUUAAAAGAACCAGCACCAGAGGAAGACGAUUUCCUUACACUGUAACACAGUCAUCCCCCCUUACCCAUGGGGAUACGGUCCAAGACCCUGCAGUGGAUGCCUGAAACCAGGAUAGUCCCGAACCCAGAAAUACUAUGUUUUUUCCGAUACAUACAUACCUAUGAUAAAGUUUAAUUUAUAAAUUAGGCACAGUAAGAGAUGAACAAUAGCUAAUAAUGAAAUAAUAUAAUUAUAACAAUAUGCUGUAAUAAAAGUAUGUGAACGUGG